AAGGGCCCAUAUCAUGCAAAAUCCACUUUUUAGACAUUUUGGAGCGUCCCUAUGACUCUAUGGGUCACAUAUACACACACUGAGCACGGUAGAAAUGCAUUUCCUGCUUUUUUCACAUUUUGAAAACGUAAAUUUUCUCAUCCAAUGAAAACAGCCACGACCUACUCUGAGGCCGUUCCCCAGGUUUCGUCAUACUGGUUGAAAGUUCUCCUUGCAAAUCCUGAACCACCACCCCCACAAUGAUCCUGAACCAAAACUGGACUUCCGCCAUUUCCCCCCUCUCACUCACCGUGAACAGACCAGCACGGCAGCGCCCAAGUCCUCCCAUAGAAAUAGUUCGGUUCUUGGGUGUUCUAACCAACACCAAAGUCUAUUCACUUUACCAAGGGAUCAACAAGUGAGGAUUUGUGGGUCACUUUUAUUUUUAACGGACCGGUGCCAGAAACACUGCCUCAGCAUUUAUACUUAUGUGCAUUUCAAACGAGGGUGCGUACAAUGCUGGAUUUGUUUCACGGCUCCUGUUGGAAAAAAAGGACCUAUUCCUAAAGUCCGUCAUCCACUCACUGAAGGAGCCACAUCCCAGUUGCCCACAUGCAAGGAGGCUGUCAAACAGAAAAAUCACUGCAGACUGUUGGUACACAGACAUCUGCUGCCCAGCUCAGGAGUGAAGGUAUGUAAGUUUGUAUGUACCAACAGUAAGAUAGGUAAUAGAAGAUUUUAAUUGGUAUAUACUGUUUAGAUUUUAUAUUUGAAUUGUAACAACUGUUUAUCUGUUGUUUUAGCACAGACAGGCCUGUCCUCUUGUUUGGUUUAAUUUUUUUUCUGGUAUUGUGUGUUCUUACAUUAGAGAAGGUUUUGACCUACAUAAUAAUUAACAUUUCACUAAUCUACAAUUCUGAUUGCAGUACUUUUUUGUUUUGAUGAGGCGAUGGUGAGGACAGCCACAGCUUCCAUCUGGUAGAGGACUGCUUCCGCUCAGUCUUCCAAAUAGUGAUGAGAACAAGGAUCACCACAUCUCCCUGUUUACCCUACUUUCAUGCAUUUCGUCUGCAAGGCCCUGCAAAAGCUUCUCCUUCGUCCUCAAACCCCCAGACUUCUUAAUUAACUCAGUAACCUAUACAUUGCACAUUGGAGUGUGAAGGUAACAGUUUGUUCUAGCUUUGGAGUAGUGGUGUAUUUUUUUGGUUUACAAUAAAGUUGGCUUUAACUAUUA
Molecule: long non-coding RNA, 1213 nt
Organism: Betta splendens (Siamese fighting fish)
Lineage: Eukaryota; Metazoa; Chordata; Actinopteri; Anabantiformes; Osphronemidae
Exons: 2
Source: RefSeq, a predicted model, not a curated record